ACCGCAUGGUGACCAGUCUGAGCACUCAGCUGAUGACGGAAACGGACCAUCUACUUAUCCACAGGUCCAACAUCAAACUGGAGGUUCAGCAGCAGAGUCUGGGAGAGGGAUCGAGCGGGCCUAAGUUCUGUGGUCCAGACGUAGAGAGCAUCACCAACAUAGACUGUAUCUCAGUCCCCACGCAGAACAUGCAGAAUCUCCAUGACAACGGCUUCCAGAAGGUGACUGUGGUCAACACGUGGUACAGUUCCCUGCGGCCUCUUUUCAACGCGGGGGAGAACAUCACCAUGAUUCCCAUCGUCACCGAUGGCAUCCAGAGGUACCUGGGCACCAUCCUGGGCUCCUCUGUCAUCUCUACUACAGUCCUGGGGGACGGACAGCCUGUCAGCAUGGCUGUGCGCUUCCAGCUCCAACACAGAUCUCAAGUAAAGACCUCAGUGUCUGACACUCACAUGGACUAUAUUCCUCUAUGCACUAUAUACCUCUGCC
Molecule: long non-coding RNA, 489 nt
Organism: Oncorhynchus tshawytscha (Chinook salmon)
Lineage: Eukaryota; Metazoa; Chordata; Actinopteri; Salmoniformes; Salmonidae
Source: Ensembl